GACUUCCUAGUGUAAUGGUUAUCACAGCGGAUUUUGAUUCCGCUAAUCCGAGUUCGAUUCUCGCUUGCCACGUCU
Xylaria palmicola is the source of this 75-nucleotide non-coding RNA. The record is from the annotation of a GenBank genome assembly. NCBI's taxonomy places the organism in Eukaryota, Fungi, Ascomycota, Sordariomycetes, Xylariales, Xylariaceae.